This 465-nucleotide ribosomal RNA is filed under the name Vreelandella stevensii. Its description in RNAcentral is "partial 16S ribosomal RNA". It matches the Rfam family "Bacterial small subunit ribosomal RNA", at positions 338 to 795 of the family's 1533-position model. The record is from RNAcentral. Lineage: Bacteria; Pseudomonadati; Pseudomonadota; Gammaproteobacteria; Oceanospirillales; Halomonadaceae.
CCUACGGGUGGCUGCAGUGGGGAAUAUUGGACAAUGGGCGAAAGCCUGAUCCAGCCAUGCCGCGUGUGUGAAGAAGGCCUUCGGGUUGUAAAGCACUUUCAGUGGGGAAGAAAGCCUUGGGGCUAAUACCCUCGAGGAAGGACAUCACCCACAGAAGAAGCACCGGCUAACUCCGUGCCAGCAGCCGCGGUAAUACGGAGGGUGCGAGCGUUAAUCGGAAUUACUGGGCGUAAAGCGCGCGUAGGCGGUCUGAUAAGCCGGUUGUGAAAGCCCCGGGCUCAACCUGGGAACGGCAUCCGGAACUGUCAGGCUAGAGUGCAGGAGAGGAAGGUAGAAUUCCCGGUGUAGCAGUGAAAUGCGUAGAGAUCGGGAGGAAUACCAGUGGCGAAGGCGGCCUUCUGGACUGACACUGACGCUGAGGUGCGAAAGCGUGGGUAGCAAACGGGAUUAGAUACCCGAGUAGUC